AUUGAACGCUGGCGGAAUGCUUUACACAUGCAAGUCGAACGGCAGCACGGACUUCGGUCUGGUGGCGAGUGGCGAACGGGUGAGUAAUGUAUCGGAACGUGCCCAGUCGUGGGGGAUAACGUAGUGAAAAUUACGCUAAUACCGCAUACGAUCUAUGGAUGAAAGCGGGGGAUCGCAAGACCUCGCGCGAUUGGAGCGGCCGAUAUCAGAUUAGGUAGUUGGUGGGGUAAAGGCCCACCAAGCCAACGAUCUGUAGCUGGUCUGAGAGGACGACCAGCCACACUGGAACUGAGACACGGUCCAGACUCCUACGGGAGGCAGCAGUGGGGAAUUUUGGACAAUGGGCGAAAGCCUGAUCCAGCCAUUCCGCGUGCAGGAUGAAGGCCCUCGGGUUGUAAACUGCUUGUGUACAGUACGAAAAGGUUUCUGCUAAUACUAGGAGCUCAUGACGGUACUGUAAGAAUAAGCACCGGCUAACUACGUGCCAGCCGCCGCCGUAA
RNAcentral lists this ribosomal RNA (500 nucleotides) under uncultured bacterium. RNAcentral's name for it is "partial 16S ribosomal RNA". It matches the Rfam family "Bacterial small subunit ribosomal RNA", at positions 30 to 523 of the family's 1533-position model. The record is from RNAcentral.